GGGGAGUCAGCCCAAGCAGGGGCCAGCCGGUCGCAGAAGACUGGGGAGAAAGUCCUGCUGGGCAGCCGUCGCACCGCCCCCAAGCCCCCCGGCGCCUCCGGAGCAGGGGGGGGCAGAACAAAGACAGACAGUCACACACCCGCGGGUGCAGCUGCAGACACACAGACCCGACCGCAGGGAGACAGGAUAAAAACGAACUCCACCAGCGGUGUAUCAAGUUAUCCUCGUAGAGGAGCAGGAGCAGGAGGUGCAGGUGGGGGAGGAGGGGGGAGAGAGAGAGGCCCAGGCACAGCCACUGGCCGAGGAAGAGGAGGAGGAGCGGGAAGAGGAGGAGGAAGAGGAGGUGGAGGAGGUGGAGGAGGAGGUGGAGGUGGAGGAGGAGGAGGAGGAGGAAGAGGGGGAGGAGGAGGAGGAGGAGAAGGAGAGGUGUCAAAGCGAGGAGGUCGGCUCUGUGAGGGCCGGGUGAGGAAUGGACCUCCGCCGGCGGCGACUGGAGCUCACAAAGUAAAGACGCAGAAGGUGGAGGACAAAGGGAAGGCGGCGUCCAGAACCGGGGACCGUGGCAAAAGAUCCACCGGAGCGGCUGGAGGGGGCGGCAAGGUGAGCAACCUUCUCACGGGCCCCAACAUUUGUGUGGCGUCAAUGGUGGUCCCUCGCACCCCCGUCGCUCCACGAAAGCAGAGACCCAAAGACCCGGAGAAGACGCAAGACAAGACGGGGUCCCACGACAACCGAGGGGCCCAAGACAAGACGGGUUCCCGCGACAACAGAGUGUCCCAAGACAAGACGGGUUCCCGUGACAACCGAGGGUCCCAGAACAAGCGGCAGAGGCAGCAGGAGGAGCAGCGCAGGAGAGAAGCUACAGGUGACCCAUCAAUUCCUAGUGUGCCCUAUUAUUCCACCGAAAUGAACAAAAAACAAAUGGGCCGUUUCUGCAGUUGGGGAGCGGGAAAUUACAUCCAUCCUAUCAGUUACAUUGUUUUCUAUCAAAACAGGAUAUAA
Molecule: long non-coding RNA, 1002 nt
Filed under: Gadus morhua (Atlantic cod)
Lineage: Eukaryota; Metazoa; Chordata; Actinopteri; Gadiformes; Gadidae
Description: lncRNA (ENSGMOG00000034647.1)
Source: RNAcentral